ACAGGAUUCCCCUAGUAACGGCGAGUGAAGCGGGAAGAGCUCAAGCUUAAAAUCUCCGCGCAAGUUUUGCGCGGCGAAUUGUAGUCUAUAGAGGCGUGGUCAGCGUGGGCGCUUGGGGCAAGUUCCUUGGAAGAGGACAGCAUGGAGGGUGAUACUCCCGUUCAUCCCUGAGUGGCUCGCGCGUACGACCCGUGUUCUUUGAGUCGCGUUGUUUGGGAAUGCAGCGCAAAGUAGGUGGUAAAUUCCAUCUAAAGCUAAAUAUUGGUGCGAGACCGAUAGCGAACAAGUACCGUGAGGGAAAGAUGAAAAGAACUUUGAAAAGAGAGUUAAAGAGUACCUGAAACUGCUGAAAGGGAACCGAAUCGUUUCCAGUGUCUAUAAUCUGUGGCAUAUUUCAUUGGCGAGUGUGUGCGCGCGUGCGCUGUGGCAGCGGCUUUUUUGGCUGCGCUCGGUGCGUGUGUUGUGUGUGCUUGCUGGUGCCCUGUGCUGCGGUGGGACGUCAAGGUCAGUUCGUAUGCUGCGGGAAAUGGCUACCGAGGAGGUAGGGCUUACGCUCUGCGUUUGUCUAUUAUAUCUUGGUGGACGAGUCGUCGCGGUUGGGACUGAGGUGCCUACAACGUGCUUUUGAGUGGGUGUGUGUCUCCGUGUGCGCCGUGUGCGGAUAGCUUGCUAUGCGUGUGUGGUUGUGUGUGGAUUGAUGCGUGCCUUAACUUGUCGCCGUUCGGGACGUUGACGAAAUGGAGCGAUCCGACCCGUCUUGAAACACGGACCAAGGAGUCUAACAUGUGUGCAAGUGUUAGGGUGUGGAAACCCCAGCGCGAAAUGAAAGUGAAGGGCAGCGCAAGUUGUCUGAGGUAGGAAAUGUUGCGGGCUUCGGUCUGCGGCGUGGCACUAUCGACCGAUCAUGAACCUUCGUGGUGAAAGAUUUGAGUUUGAGCACAUAUGUUGGUACCCGAAAGAUGGUGAACUAUGCCUGAGUAGGGUGAAGCCAGGGAAACUCUG
Molecule: ribosomal RNA, 1002 nt
Filed under: Phytophthora megasperma
Lineage: Eukaryota; Oomycota; Peronosporomycetes; Peronosporales; Peronosporaceae
Description: LSU rRNA
Rfam family: Eukaryotic large subunit ribosomal RNA
Source: RNAcentral